UUGGCGAACGGGUGAGUAACGCGUGAGUAACCUGCCCUAGAGUGGGGGACAACAGUUGGAAACGACUGCUAAUACCGCAUAAGCCCACGGUACCGCAUGGUACUGAGGGAAAAGGAUUUAUUCGCUUUAGGAUGGACUCGCGUCCAAUUAGCUAGUUGGUGAGGUAACGGCCCACCAAGGCGACGAUUGGUAGCCGGACUGAGAGGUUGAACGGCCACAUUGGGACUGAGACACGGCCCAG
RNAcentral lists this ribosomal RNA (241 nucleotides) under uncultured bacterium. RNAcentral's name for it is "partial 16S ribosomal RNA". It matches the Rfam family "Bacterial small subunit ribosomal RNA", at positions 95 to 334 of the family's 1533-position model. The record is from RNAcentral.